GACGAACGCUGGCGGCGUGCCUAAUACAUGCAAGUUGAGCGAUGAAGAUUGGUGCUUGCACCAAUUUGAAGAGCAGCGAACGGGUGAGUAACGCGUGGGGAAUCUGCCUUUGAGCGGGGGACAACAUUUGGAAACGAAUGCUAAUACCGCAUAACAACUUUAAACAUAAGUUUUAAGUUUCAAAGAUGCAAUUGCAUCACUCAAAGAUGAUCCCGCGUUGUAUUAGCUAGUUGGUGAGGUAAAGGCUCACCAAGGCGAUGAUACAUAGCCGACCUGAGAGGGUGAUCGGCCACAUUGGGACUGAGACACGGCCCAAACUCCUACGGGAGGCAGCAGUAGGGAAUCUUCGGCAAUGGACGAAAGUCUGACCGAGCAACGCCGCGGGAGUGAAGAAGGUUUUCGGAUCGUAAAACUCUGUUGGUAGAGAAGAACGUUGGUGAGAGUGGAAAGCUCAUCAAGUGACGGUAACUACCCAGAAAGGGACGGCUAACUACGUG
RNAcentral lists this ribosomal RNA (497 nucleotides) under uncultured bacterium. RNAcentral describes it as "partial 16S ribosomal RNA". It matches the Rfam family "Bacterial small subunit ribosomal RNA", at positions 28 to 507 of the family's 1533-position model. The record is from RNAcentral.